CAUGGCUCCUUGAAUUUAAUGUAUAAGGAGUCGGACCUGCCCAGUGAAAUAUUUUAAACGGCCGCGGUACUCUGACCGUGCAAAGGUAGCAUAAUCAUUUGCCCUAUAAUUGAGGGCUAGUAUGAAUGGUUUGACAAGAAUAAAGCUGUCUCCAUGUAAUUAUAUAGAAUUUUAUUUUUAGGUGAAGAAGCCUAAAUUUUAUUAAAAGACAAGAAGACCCUAUCGAGCUUUAAAGAAGUUAAUAAAGUAAUAAUAAAUAUUAACUAAAAUAGAUUUUAUUAAGAAUUUUGGUUGGGGCGACAAAGGAACAAUUAAAGCUUCUUUUAAAAUAAAGAAACCUACAAGUAUUGAUCCAGAAUAAUUCUGAUUAAAGAAAUUAGUUACCGUAGGGAUAACAGCAUUAUCUUUUUUGAGAGCUCAUAUCGAAAAAAAGGUUUGUGACCUCGAUGUUGGACCAGGAUACCCAGAAGAUGCAGAAGUCUUCAAAGGUUGGUCUGUUCGACCAUUAAAAUCCUACGUGAUCUGAGUUCAGACCGGCGUGAGCCAGGUCAGUUUCUAUCUUUUAUUAGUAAAGUAAGUUUAGUACGAAAGGACCAACUUAUAGUAUUAUUAUAAUAUUAGCUUAUAGAUUGAAUAUAAUGUAAAAAUAAAUAAAGUUUAG
This 661-nucleotide ribosomal RNA is filed under the name Bursa rhodostoma. Its description in RNAcentral is "partial 16S ribosomal RNA". The stretch from base 1 to 587 matches the Rfam family "Bacterial large subunit ribosomal RNA", at positions 1814 to 2925 of the family's 2925-position model. Lineage: Eukaryota; Metazoa; Mollusca; Gastropoda; Littorinimorpha; Bursidae. The record is from RNAcentral.